CAAGGACCCGGUGAGAGCCCGGGUGGCUCUUCCGGCCGCUGAUCCGCCGGACAACC
Salipiger mucosus DSM 16094 is the source of this 56-nucleotide regulatory RNA element. It matches the Rfam family "sul1 RNA". The record is from Rfam. NCBI's taxonomy places the organism in Bacteria, Pseudomonadati, Pseudomonadota, Alphaproteobacteria, Rhodobacterales, Roseobacteraceae.